Molecule: long non-coding RNA, 979 nt
Filed under: Equus caballus (horse)
Lineage: Eukaryota; Metazoa; Chordata; Mammalia; Perissodactyla; Equidae
Description: lncRNA (ENSECAG00000057890.1)
Source: RNAcentral
CGGCAGUCACAAAGGCAAAGGAACUCCAGGCUACGGCCACAAUUCAGCCUCAACUCUCCCCCAUUGUGCCCAGCCACAGCAAUGGUCUCAGAGCCGUCGGGGGUCUUACAUAUCUCAUACGUGCAGCAAAGUGGGGGAACAAUGUGACAAAUUAUGAACAAGCUAAGAGCUGAGCCUGUGGAAUUCUGCCCUUUGUGAGCCGCCAUCACAUGUCAGCUAGGCUGCUGGGCCAAGGGGGAGACACGGGGGUGGGGGACAUCCCAGCAGCAGGAGACUAGCCCGGUGCUGGAACACUUCACACUUGAGAACACCGCCCCUUCUCGGGCUGCUGGAGUGCCACUCCAUCCCUCUCUCUCUCUCUCUCUCUCUCUCUCUCUCUCUCUCUCUCUCUCUCUCUCUCUCUCCCUCUGCCCCCUCCCUUUCUCUGUCUCUCAGGGAUUGCAAGAGAAAAGAAAAUUAUUCUGACUCUACUAUUUUUUCAUUUAGAUCUAAACAUUCAAUCAAUACUAUUCUUGCUGAAGAAAACAAAAGAUCCAGGCAAACUUUCAGAGUCCAUUCUCCCAAGAGCCAAAGGUGACAAAGCUCCAGUGAUGUGGGUGAUCAUCCUUGUUCCUAACACUUCUUUGUCUUCAAGAGCCCACCUUCUCUCAACCUCCUGGUGCCUCAAUUUCUUCAUCUGCAAGGAAAAAUGACCCUCAAGGAGGAAUUAAGAAGUGAAAGAGACAGCUUGGAAUGAAGAACAAGGCCGGUAAACCAUGCCAACCACUUCGCCUGGGGUUCAACUGAAAGAGUGAUGGUCUCUUCCAUGGCAGGACGAGGAAAACUCAAUGGGAUUGGGCUUUUUUGAGAGCCUGUACACAAAGCAGUGUAUUCUGUACUUUCUGUGGAAUUUAAGGGAAUUUUUCAGGGGCUACUUUUAACUAUAUGACUGAUUUUCCAUCUUAUUACCUCCAAUUUAUAAUAUAAGAAGCUAUCCUUA